This 25-nucleotide transfer RNA is filed under the name Cephalophorus callipygus (Peters' duiker). RNAcentral describes it as "Cephalophus callipygus (Peters' duiker) partial tRNA-Phe". The record is from RNAcentral. Lineage: Eukaryota; Metazoa; Chordata; Mammalia; Artiodactyla; Bovidae.
GUUAAUGUAGCUUAAAAUUAAAGCA